GAUGAACGCUGGCUACAGGCUUAACACAUGCAAGUCGAGGGGAAACGCCGGGGAAGCUUGCUUCCCCGGGCGUCGACCGGCGCACGAGUGAUUAACACGUAUCCAACCUGCCUCUGACUGAUGUAUAACCCGGCGAAAGUCUGCCUAAUACCUCAUUGCAUCCUCUGCGGGCGUCCAACGACGAUUAAGGAUUUCAUCGGUCAGAGGUCGGGUUGCGUCUGAUUAGCUUGUGGGCGGGGUAACGGCCCACCAAGGCGACGUUCAGUAGGGGUUCUGAGAGGAAGGGCCUCCACGUUGGAACUGAGACACUGUCACAAAUACUAGGGGAGGAAGCAGUGAGGAAGAUUGGUCAAGGGGCGUGAGCCUGAACCAGCCAAGUAGCGUGAAGGAUGACGGCGGUAUGGGUUGUAAACUGCUUUUAUGAGGGGAUAAAGUGAGUGACGUGUCUUUAAUUGAAGGUACCGGAUGAAUAAGGACCGGCUAACUACGUG
RNAcentral lists this ribosomal RNA (491 nucleotides) under uncultured bacterium. Its description in RNAcentral is "partial 16S ribosomal RNA". It matches the Rfam family "Bacterial small subunit ribosomal RNA", at positions 28 to 507 of the family's 1533-position model. The record is from RNAcentral.